CCCACAAUAUUAUGUUGUUCCCCAAGUUUUGGACUCAAUCCGAUAUCGAUUGGUCCUUGAAAUCGGACAAUUCAGGUUCGUACGAAGUUCGUUCUGAAAUGGGGUGAUUAGUGUAUUAAAUAGUUCUAGAGAUUGGAUUUCACUCAAAACCCACCAAAUGACUCCUCCCACAAUAUUAUGAUGUUCCCCAAGUUUUGGACUCAAUCCGAUAUCGAUUGGUCCUUGAAAUCGGACAAUUCAGGUUCGUACAAAGUUCGUUCUGAAAUGGGGUGGUUGGUGUAUUGUAUAGUUCUAGGGAUUGUAUUUCACUCAAAACCCACCAAAUGACUCCUCCCACAAUAUUAUGAUGUUCCCCAAGUUUUGGACUCAAUCCGAUAUCGAUUGGUCCUUGAAAUCGGACAAUUCAGGUUCGUACGAAGUUCGUUCAUAAAUGGGGUGGUUGGUGUAUUGUAUAGUUCUAGGGAUUGGAUUUCACUCAAAACCAACCAAAUGACUCCUCCCAAAAUAUUAUGAUGUUACCCAAGUUUUGGACUCAAU
Molecule: long non-coding RNA, 537 nt
Filed under: Prunus persica (peach)
Lineage: Eukaryota; Viridiplantae; Streptophyta; Magnoliopsida; Rosales; Rosaceae
Description: long non-coding RNA (PPER_LNC008550)
Source: RNAcentral